This 421-nucleotide ribosomal RNA is filed under the name uncultured bacterium. RNAcentral's name for it is "bacterial SSU rRNA". It matches the Rfam family "Bacterial small subunit ribosomal RNA", at positions 31 to 497 of the family's 1533-position model. The record is from RNAcentral.
GUACGCUGGCGGCACGCCUAACACAUGCAAGUCGAACGAAGUAGCAAUACUUAGUGGCAGACGGGUGAGUAACAUGUAGGUAUCUGCCCUUUGGCCUGGAAUAACAUGAGGAAACUUAUGCUAAUACCGGAUAAGUCUUUACGGAGAAAGCUUUAUGCACCAUUGGAUGAGCCUGCACUUGAUUAGUUUGUUGGUGGGGUAAUGGCCUACCAAGACUUUGAUCAAUAGCUGAUUUGAGAGGAUGAUCAGCCACAUUGGGACUGAGACACGGCCCAAACUCCUACGGGAGGCAGCAGUGGGGAAUCUUGCACAAUGGAGGAAACUCUGAUGCAGCGAUGCCGCGUGAGUGAAGAAGGCCCUUGGGUUGUAAAGCUCUUUCGUCGGGGAAGAAAAUGACUGUACCCGAAUAAGAAGGUCCGGC